This 357-nucleotide RNase P RNA is filed under the name chicken gut metagenome. RNAcentral's name for it is "Bacterial RNase P class A". It matches the Rfam family "Bacterial RNase P class A". Rfam says of the family: Ribonuclease P (RNase P) is a ubiquitous endoribonuclease, found in archaea, bacteria and eukarya as well as chloroplasts and mitochondria. Its best characterised activity is the generation of mature 5'-ends of tRNAs by cleaving the 5'-leader elements of precursor-tRNAs. The record is from RNAcentral.
UCGAAUAGUCGCGUAUAGCAAGGUCGAAAGACAGCGUACGAGGAAAGUCCGGGCUCCACAGAGCAAUGAUGCUGGAUAACGUCCAGUGAGGGUAACCUUAAGGAAAGUGCAACAGAAAAGUACCGCCUGCUAGAAGUUAAAGGCUUCUAGUUUGGUAAGGGUGAAAAGGCGAGGUAAGAGCUCACCGCUGGUAUGGUGACAUAUUGGGUCAGUGUAAACCCCAUCAGGAGCAACACCGAGCCAAGAAGGUUAAUGGCUGCUCGCCAGUCUUCUUAUAUUGGUGGCAAGAUGCAUAUAGCAAUAUAUGUACUAGAUAGAUGACUAUUCAAGACAGAACCCGGCUUAUAGAUUUACUUU